ACACGUAGUUUGACUCCGUGGCUCGAGGACGACGCUGGCGGCGCGCCUAACACAUGCAAGUCGAACGAGCGAGAGAGAGCUUGCUUUCUCGAGCGAGUGGCGAACGGGUGAGUAACGCGUGAGGAACCUGCCUCAAAGAGGGGGACAACAGUUGGAAACGACUGCUAAUACCGCAUAAGCCCACGGGUCGGCAUCGACCAGAGGGAAAAGGAGCAAUCCGCUUUGAGAUGGCCUCGCGUCCGAUUAGCUAGUUGGUGAGGUAAUGGCCCACCAAGGCGACGAUCGGUAGCCGGACUGAGAGGUUGAACGGCCACAUUGGGACUGAGACACGGCCCAGACUCCUACGGGAGGCAGCAGUGGGGAAUAUUGCACAAUGGGGGAAACCCUGAUGCAGCGACGCCGCGUGGAGGAAGAAGGUCUUCGGAUUGUAAACUCCUGUUGUUGAGGAAGAUAAUGACGGUACUCAACAAGGAAGUGACGGCUAACUACGUG
Molecule: ribosomal RNA, 492 nt
Filed under: uncultured bacterium
Lineage: Bacteria
Description: bacterial SSU rRNA
Rfam family: Bacterial small subunit ribosomal RNA
Source: RNAcentral